Molecule: unclassified non-coding RNA, 348 nt
Filed under: soil metagenome
Description: partial contains 5.8S ribosomal RNA, internal transcribed spacer 2, and large subunit ribosomal RNA
Rfam family: 5.8S ribosomal RNA (bases 1-120)
Source: RNAcentral
GAUGAAGAACGUAGCGAAAUGCGAUAAGUAAUGUGAAUUGCAGAAUUCAGUGAAUCAUCGAAUCUUUGAACGCACAUUGCGCCCGCCAGUAUUCUGGCGGGCAUGCCUGUCUGAGCGUUAUUUCAACCCUCAUGCCCCUAGGGCGUGGUGUUGGGGAUCGGCCAAAGCCCGCGAGGGACGGCCGGCCCCUAAAUCUAGUGGCGGACCCGUCGUGGCCUCCUCUGCGAAGUAGUGAUAUUCCGCAUCGGAGAGCGACGAGCCCCUGCCGUUAAACCCCCAACUUUCCAAGGUUGACCUCAGAUCAGGUAGGAAUACCCGCUGAACUUAAGCAUAUCAAUAAGCGGAGGA